AUUGAACGCUGGCGGCAGGCCUAACACAUGCAAGUCGAGCGGAUGAAGGGAGCUUGCUCCUGGAUUCAGCGGCGGACGGGUGAGUAAUGCCUAGGAAUCUGCCUGGUAGUGGGGGAUAACGUCCGGAAACGGGCGCUAAUACCGCAUACGUCCUGAGGGAGAAAGUGGGGGAUCUUCGGACCUCACGCUAUCAGAUGAGCCUAGGUCGGAUUAGCUAGUUGGUGGGGUAAAGGCCUACCAAGGCGACGAUCCGUAACUGGUCUGAGAGGAUGAUCAGUCACACUGGAACUGAGACACGGUCCAGACUCCUACGGGAGGCAGCGGUGGGGAAUAUUGGACAAUGGGCGAAAGCCUGAUCCAGCCCUGCCGCGUGUGUGAAGAAGGUCUUCGGAUUUUAAAGCACUUUAAGUUGGGAGGAAGGGCAGUAAGUUAAUACCUUGCUGUUUUGACGUUACCAACAGAAUAAGCACCGGCUAACUUCGUG
This 484-nucleotide ribosomal RNA is filed under the name uncultured bacterium. RNAcentral describes it as "partial 16S ribosomal RNA". It matches the Rfam family "Bacterial small subunit ribosomal RNA", at positions 30 to 507 of the family's 1533-position model. The record is from RNAcentral.